UACGUAGGGGGGCAAGCGUUGUCCGGAUUUAUUGGGCGUAAAGAGCGUGUAGGCGGUUAGGUAGGUCCGUUGUGAAAACUCGAGGCUCAACCUCGAGACGCCGAUGGAAACCAUCUGACUAGAGUCCGGAAGAGGAGAGUGGAAUUCCGUGGUGUAGCGGUGAAAUGCGCAGAUAUCAGGAGGAACACCGGUGGGCGAAGGCGGGUCUCUGGGCCGAUACUGACGCUGAGGAGCGAAAGCGUGGGGAGCGAACAGG
Molecule: ribosomal RNA, 256 nt
Filed under: uncultured bacterium
Lineage: Bacteria
Description: partial 16S ribosomal RNA
Rfam family: Bacterial small subunit ribosomal RNA
Source: RNAcentral